ACGGAAGGCAGCAGUGGGGGAUAUUGCACAAUGGGGGAAACCCUGAUGCAGCGACGCCGCGUGAGUGAAGAAGUAUUUCGGUAUGUAAAGCUCUAUCAGCAGGAAAGAUAAUGACGGUACCUGGCUAAGAAGCACCGGCUAAAUACGUGCCAGCAGCCGCGGUAAUACGUAUGGUGCAAGCGUUAUCCGGAUUUACUGGGUGUAAAGGGAGCGCAGACGGCAUGGCAAGCCAGAUGUGAAAGGCAGGGGCUCAACCCCUGGACUGCAUUUGGAACUGUCAAGCUAGAGUAUCGGAGAGGUAAGUGGAAUCCCUAGUGUAGCGGUGAAAUGCGUAGAUAUUAGGAGGAACACCAGUGGCGAAGGCGGCUUACUGGACGAUAACUGACGUUGAGGCUCGAAAGCGUGGGGAGCAAACAGGAUUAGAUACCCUGGUA
Molecule: ribosomal RNA, 434 nt
Filed under: uncultured Lachnospiraceae bacterium
Lineage: Bacteria; Bacillati; Bacillota; Clostridia; Lachnospirales; Lachnospiraceae
Description: partial 16S ribosomal RNA
Rfam family: Bacterial small subunit ribosomal RNA
Source: RNAcentral